RNAcentral lists this RNase P RNA (392 nucleotides) under Simkania negevensis. RNAcentral describes it as "RNase P RNA component class A". It matches the Rfam family "Bacterial RNase P class A". Rfam says of the family: Ribonuclease P (RNase P) is a ubiquitous endoribonuclease, found in archaea, bacteria and eukarya as well as chloroplasts and mitochondria. Its best characterised activity is the generation of mature 5'-ends of tRNAs by cleaving the 5'-leader elements of precursor-tRNAs. Cellular RNase Ps are ribonucleoproteins. Lineage: Bacteria; Pseudomonadati; Chlamydiota; Chlamydiia; Parachlamydiales; Simkaniaceae. The record is from RNAcentral.
UUGGGAGGACGAGCAUCCGCUGCUGUCUCCUUUACGGAGGAGGUAGGAGAGGAAAGUCUGGACUUCGUAGGAGAGGAUACCAGCGAAAGGCUGGGGGCUGAAAGGCUACGGAAAGUGCAACAGAAAACACGUCGUCUAUCUAGCCUUUGGGCUUGUAGAGUAGGCUGAAAAUCUUCGCUUAAAGAGCGGGGCGUACCUGGGGAGACCCAGGGCGGUGUAAACCCUAUCCGAAGCAAGAGUUGGCUGGCGAUUCCCUUGUACUCCGCAAGUGCUGGCCGCAAGUUCGCUUGAGGGUUCCGGUGACGGAACUCCUAGAGGAAUGGUUGCUCGUUGUCGCGUGGGGUUUCCCAUACGGCAAGUGACAAAAUCCAGCUUAUAGUCCUCCCUUUUUU